UGCUUUACCAUGCAGUCGAACGGUAACAGGGAGCUUGCUCCGCUGACGAGUGGCGAACGGGUGAGUAAUGCAUCGGAACGUACCCAGUCGUGGGGGAUAACGUAGCGAAAGUUACGCUAAUACCGCAUACGUCCUGAGGGAGAAAGCGGGGGACCGUAAGGCCUCGCGCGAUUGGAGCGGCCGAUGUCGGAUUAGCUAGUUGGUAGGGUAAAGGCCUACCAAGGCGACGAUCCGUAGCGGGUCUGAGAGGAUGAUCCGCCACACUGGGACUGAGACACGGCCCAGACUCCUACGGGAGGCAGCAGUGGGGAAUUUUGGACAAUGGGCGAAAGCCUGAUCCAGCCAUGCCGCGUGAGUGAAGAAGGCCUUCGGGUUGUAAAGCUCUUUCAGCCGGAAAGAAAUCGCGCAGGAUAAUACUCUGCGUGGAUGACGGUACCGGAAGAAGAAGCACCGGCUAACUACGUGCCAGCAGCCCCGGUCACCC
RNAcentral lists this ribosomal RNA (484 nucleotides) under uncultured bacterium. RNAcentral's name for it is "bacterial SSU rRNA". It matches the Rfam family "Bacterial small subunit ribosomal RNA", at positions 45 to 526 of the family's 1533-position model. The record is from RNAcentral.